AGUCAGAGCCAGACUCUGCCCUGCAGGAGCUCACAACAAGGAAGGAGAGAGACAUGCCAGAAAUAGCUCCAGGACAAGGCAGAUGGGCGGCAUGAGACGGAGCACUCACCCCUACACAUGGCACGGCCUGGACCAGGGUGGGGUCCGCCAUGCAUCGGUGUUCACCCUGUCUCAGCAAUGGAACUCUUUCUCAAACAGAGCCUGGAGGUCUCCAAAGGUCCCUGCAGAGCUGGGUGGGAAGCCCGCUGCCCACUGAUGGUUGCACUUCACCCUGGACCCCGCUGGCACCCAGCGUCUCUUCAGUAGCGGCCAGGUCAGAGGUCCUGAACCCCAGUGUCACCUGUUGGG
Molecule: long non-coding RNA, 348 nt
Organism: Tupaia belangeri chinensis (Chinese tree shrew)
Lineage: Eukaryota; Metazoa; Chordata; Mammalia; Scandentia; Tupaiidae
Exons: 3
Source: RefSeq, a predicted model, not a curated record